RNAcentral lists this ribosomal RNA (347 nucleotides) under uncultured bacterium. RNAcentral describes it as "bacterial SSU rRNA". It matches the Rfam family "Bacterial small subunit ribosomal RNA", at positions 1 to 334 of the family's 1533-position model. The record is from RNAcentral.
CGCGAGUAUUCAGAGUUUGAUCCUGGCUCAGGACGAACGCUGGCGGCGUGCCUAAUACAUGCAAGUCGAGCGGAACGGUUGGAGCUUGCUCCAACAGUUUAGCGGCGGACGGGUGAGUAACACGUGGGCAACCUGCCCUGCAGAUCGGGAUAACUCCGGGAAACCGGUGCUAAUACCGAAUAGUUUGCGGCCUCUCCUGAGGCUGCACGGAAAGACGGUUUCGGCUGUCACUGCAGGAUGGGCCCGCGGCGCAUUAGCUAGUUGGUGGGGUAAUGGCCCACCAAGGCGACGAUGCGUAGCCGACCUGAGAGGGUGAUCGGCCACACUGGGACUGAGACACGGCCCAG